RNAcentral lists this ribosomal RNA (253 nucleotides) under uncultured bacterium. Its description in RNAcentral is "partial 16S ribosomal RNA". It matches the Rfam family "Bacterial small subunit ribosomal RNA", at positions 524 to 776 of the family's 1533-position model. The record is from RNAcentral.
UACGAAGGGUGCAAGCGUUACUCGGAAUUACUGGGCGUAAAGCGUGCGUAGGCGGUCUGUCGCGUCUGCUGUGAAAACUCGGGGCUUAACCCCGGGCCUGCAGUGGGUACGGGCAGACUAGAGUGCGGUAGGGGAGACUGGAAUUCCUGGUGUAGCGGUGAAAUGCGCAGAUAUCAGGAGGAACACCGGUGGCGAAGGCGGGUCUCUGGGCCGUAACUGACGCUGAGGAGCGAAAGCGUGGGGAGCGAACAGG